GGGGAAUCUUGCACAAUGGGGGCAACCCUGAUGCAGCGACGCCGCGUGAGCGAUGAAGCCCUUCGGGGCGUAAAGCUCUUUCGACCGGAACGAUAAUGACGGUACCGGGAGAAGAGGCUGCGGCUAACUACGUGCCAGCAGCCGCGGUAAUACGUAGGCAGCAAGCGUUGUUCGGAGUUACUGGGCGUAAAGAGUGCGUAGGCGGUUUUCUAAGUUCGGUGUGAAAUCUCCCGGCUUAACUGGGAGGGUGCGCCGAAGACUGGGAAGCUGGAGUGUGGGAAAGGCAGGCGGAAUUCCUGGUGUAGCGGUGAAAUGCGUAGAGAUCAGGAGGAACACCGGCGGUGUAGACGGCUUGCAAGACCAUAACUGACGCUGAGGCACGAAAGCGUGGGUAGCAAACA
This 401-nucleotide ribosomal RNA is filed under the name uncultured bacterium. RNAcentral describes it as "bacterial SSU rRNA". It matches the Rfam family "Bacterial small subunit ribosomal RNA", at positions 356 to 774 of the family's 1533-position model. The record is from RNAcentral.